CGGAUAAUCUAACCUAUGGUGAGGGAUAAUCUCGGGAAACUGAGGCUAAUACCUCAUAGAUCAGAUAUGCUGGAAUGCUCUCUGGUCCAAAGCUGAGGCGCCAUAGGAUGAGUCUGCGGCCUAUCAGGUAGUAGUGAGUGUAACGGACUCACUAGCCGACGACGGGUACGGGCUGUGGAAGCAGUCGCCCGGAGAUGGAUUCUGAGACACGAAUCCAGGCCCUACGGGGCGCAGCAGGCGCGAAAACUUUACACUGCAGGAAACUGCGAUAAGGGAACUCCAAGUGUCUAUGCAUCGCAUAGUCUGUUUUCCUGUCCAAAAAACAGGGAGAGUAAGGGCUGGGUAAGACGGGUGCCAGCCGCCGCGGUAAUACCCGCAGCCCGAGUGGUGAACACUUUUAUUGGGCCUAAAGCGUCCGUAGCCGGUCUGGUAAAUCCUUGGGUAAAUCGUACGGCCUAACCGUGCGAAGUCUGGGGAGACUGUCAGACUUGGGACCGGGAGAGGUUGGAGGUACUCCAGGGGUAGGGGUGAAAUCCUGUAAUCCUUAGAGGACCACCGGUGGCGAAGGCGUCCAACUAGAACGGAUCCGACGGUGAGGGACGAAGCCGUGGGGCACAAACCGGAUUAGAUACCCGGGUAGUCCACGGUGUAAACGCUGCGGGCUUGGUGUUGGGGGUCCUAAGGGGGCGCCCAGUGCCGGAGAGAAAUUGUUAAGCCUGCCGCCUGGGGAGUACGGUCGCAAGACUGAAACUUAAAGGAAUUGGCGGGGGAGCACCGCAACGGGAGGAGCGUGCGGUUUAAUUGGAUCAACGCCGUAAAACUCACCGGGGGAGACUCUUACAUGAAGGCCAAGCUGAUGACUUUACCCGAUUUUGAGAGAGGUGGUGCAUGGCCGCCGUCAGUUCGUACCGCAAGGCGUUCUGUUAAGUCAGAUAACGAACGAGACCCCAAUCCUUAAUUGCCAAGCUUCCCUCAGGGGGAGCGGAACAUUAAGGGGACCGCUGGUGUUAAAUCAGAGGAAGGCGGGGCAACGGUAGGUCAGUAUGCCCUGAAUCCCUCGGGCUACACGCGCGCUACAAAGGACAAGACAAUGGGUUCCGACAUCGAAAGGUGAAGGCAAUCCCGAAACUUGUUCGUAGUUCGGAUUGAGGGCUGUAACCCGCCCUCAUGAAGGUGGAUUCCUUAGUAAUCGUAAGUCAACAUCUUACGGUGAAUAUGCCCCUGCUCCUUGCACACACCGCCCGUCAAACCAUCUGAGUAGGGCGAAGACGAGGGUUCAUCCUCUUGGUGAAUUCGAAUCUUUGUUCUGCAAGGAGGGUUAAGUCGUAACAAGGUA
This 1336-nucleotide ribosomal RNA is filed under the name metagenome. RNAcentral describes it as "bacterial SSU rRNA". It matches the Rfam family "Archaeal small subunit ribosomal RNA". The record is from RNAcentral.